GUCAGUCAUGUAAACUCAAACUGUAAACUUGUUCGUCUGUAUUUAAAGUAUUACCGUUUGAGGUUCUUGAAAAGUUUUCAAUGAAAAAUGCAACUGAUUAAACAAUCUGCGUUAUAUCUUUGUACAUAUUUUGUGCCAUCAUCAACAUAACGAAUUGUUUGUAUUUCUGUUUCAAAAUCGAGCGACGUUUAAUAUUAUGACUUCAUUUAGAUAAAUCCCAUUUCACCACCUACCUAUGUUGUCAUGACAACAACAGUGAAUCGAGAAGAAGGUUUGAAAGCUUUGGAAACAUCUAUCAAAGCCAUUGAAGAAGUCAUUAUGAGCAAGAAAGGAACAUUUGUUUUACAACAAGCUAACGUCGUGUAUUUCGGUGACGUCGACAUAAAAACUUGUGUUUUGUUGCUGUUGGCGAAAAAUACGGAAUCGUCGGAAUGAGGAAGUUGUAAAUUUUAUUAUAGUGUGUUUCAUUCAGCCUUCAGACGCGCGACUAAAGCGAUUGCCUAGUGUGUUUCAUUCAGCCUUCAGACGCGCGACUAAAGCGAUUACCUAGUGUGUUUCAUUCAGCCUUCAGACGCGCGACUAAAGCGAUUACCUAGUGUGUUUCAUUCAGCCUUCAGACGCGCGACUAAAGCGAUUGCCUAGUGUGUUUCAUUCAGCCUUCAGACGCGCGACUUAAGCGAUUACCUAGUGUGUUUCAUUCAGCCUUCAGACGCGCGACUAAAGCGAUUGCCUAGUGUGUUUCAUUCAGCCUUCAAACGCACGACUAAAGCGAUUGCCUAGUGUGUUUCAGCCUUAACUGUUCAAUCACGUUAGUUUGAUUUCGAUUUAAGUAAAUAAAAUAAUAAUGAACAAAAAUUAAAUUACAUAAACUCUU
Molecule: long non-coding RNA, 874 nt
Organism: Xenia sp. Carnegie-2017
Lineage: Eukaryota; Metazoa; Cnidaria; Anthozoa; Malacalcyonacea; Xeniidae
Exons: 3
Source: RefSeq, a predicted model, not a curated record